This is a long non-coding RNA of Scylla paramamosain (green mud crab), 1515 nucleotides long. RefSeq lists it as uncharacterized. Lineage: Eukaryota; Metazoa; Arthropoda; Malacostraca; Decapoda; Portunidae. The transcript has 3 exons. The record is from RefSeq and is a predicted model, not a curated record.
CCUCCUCCUCCUACUACUACUACUACUACUACUACUACUACUACCACCACCUCUCCUUCCUCGCAUCUCGUCACAGGAUCUAUCAACACAAUAUAUGACAGCUAAGCACUGGAUCAAAACAAAGAGACGAGACCGCCAGACCGUGAUGAACACCAGUACUCCUCAAGCAGAGCAAGGGGACGUUCGCUGGUCACCCUUACUGUAGAGAUACUCCGAUGGGUCCUGCCACUUGGCGCUUAUAAGGGUGUUGUGAUUAAUUAGCAGUUUCGUUGUCAGUUUCAGCAUCACCCUCGGUCGGCCAAAACAACGAGAGCUUUUUUUCAUCGUCCGAGAGGAAGUGAACGAACAUGGAUAAGUCCGAGUAUUCAGCGAGUGAUGGAGACGAAACCUUUGAUCAGUUCAUCAGGUUCUGCGUGAAUGCCUCAUCUUUGGACAGACACAGUUCCUCUUCUGACCCAGACCAGGAACAGACUGCGUCACUCAACGAUGAUAUAAUUACUCUCUUCUACCACACUGGGCACCACGAGGCAUCCGCCGUCCCGCACCACACCCAAGAGGAGGAGGAGGAGGAGGAGGAGGAGGAGGAGGAGGAGGAGGAGGAGGAGGACGAGAGGGAGGAGGAGGAGGAGGAGGAGGAGGAGGAGGAGGAGGAGGAGGAGGAGGAGGAGGAGGAGAAGGGACGUGCUUAAGAAAACAGGAAAAGAAGGGCAGUGUGUGUGUGUGUGUAUGUGUGUGUGUGUGUGUGUGUGUGUGUACUAUCAAUUUUUUUUUUAAUGCAUUUUCUAUACCCGAUUAGAUUUUCCCCUAUGGUACAGCUAACCCUUUACUUGCAUACCUGACACGUGACCUGAGUGAAUGCCGAGGUGUAAAUGGAGAAGCUAGCAAUGUCACGUCUUGUCAUAGCUUUGUAAUCACCGUGUCCUUUCUGUAUCUUCCUUAUCACUCCCAGAAGCAUCAUAGGUUCGCUAUCUUAUCACCAGUUUGGUUUAUUAAUUAUCAUUAGCGUAAUCAAAGUGUUGUUCAGUGUGUUCAGAAUGGUCAGGCGUGUAAAGGAUAAGCAGCAGCAGUUCCGUUGUCCCAUACAGCCAUAUUCUGAAAUGCUUCAUCCUGCUCUACUUUCGAAAGAGUCUAGUUAAAGUAAUGUUUUUUUUUUUUUUUUUUUUUUUUUUUAGUUUUUAUCUAUUUUAUUUUUAUUUAUUUAUUUUUUUCACGGUUCUAAAGAGAGGUUAACAAGAUGUCUACAUUAUUAACACGGGAAGCAAGUCAUUUAAGUGGCCUUCGAUAAUAGUCAUGAUGGGAGCAAAGCUUUUCUAAAUACUGACCAGUUUGUGAGAUAAAGCUACGCUCUCCAAUUUCCUUCUUUAAUUUCUUUGUCUCCCAUCUUUUAUUUUUUUUAUCCCCAAGUUGUUUCCCCUGACAUCAUGCUUCUUCACUUUCCUUCCCAGUGUGCGCGCGUUGAGGCGCGUAGGUGCCUUGCCGUGCACUUAUCCUUCAUUCAUUCACCCGAGACAAAAU